Molecule: ribosomal RNA, 550 nt
Filed under: uncultured bacterium
Lineage: Bacteria
Description: bacterial SSU rRNA
Rfam family: Bacterial small subunit ribosomal RNA
Source: RNAcentral
UAGGGAAUCUUCGGCAAUGGACGGAAGUCUGACCGAGCAACGCCGCGUGAGUGAAGAAGGUUUUCGGAUCGUAAAGCUCUGUUGUAAGAGAAGAACGAGUGUGAGAGUGGAAAGUUCACACUGUGACGGUAUCUUACCAGAAAGGGACGGCUAACUACGUGCCAGCAGCCGCGGUAAUACGUAGGUCCCGAGCGUUGUCCGGAUUUAUUGGGCGUAAAGCGAGCGCAGGCGGUUAGAUAAGUCUGAAGUUAAAGGCUGUGGCUUAACCAUAGUACGCUUUGGAAACUGUUUAACUUGAGUGCAAGAGGGGAGAGUGGAAUUCCAUGUGUAGCGGUGAAAUGCGUAGAUAUAUGGAGGAACACCGGUGGCGAAAGCGGCUCUCUGGCUUGUAACUGACGCUGAGGCUCGAAAGCGUGGGGAGCAAACAGGAUUAGAUACCCUGGUAGUCCACGCCGUAAACGAUGAGUGCUAGGUGUUAGGCCCUUUCCGGGGCUUAGUGCCGCAGCUAACGCAUUAAGCACUCCGCCUGGGGAGUACGACCGCAAGGUUG